Molecule: ribosomal RNA, 576 nt
Filed under: Nitzschia frustulum
Lineage: Eukaryota; Bacillariophyta; Bacillariophyceae; Bacillariales; Bacillariaceae
Description: eukaryotic LSU rRNA
Rfam family: Eukaryotic large subunit ribosomal RNA
Source: RNAcentral
AUGCAAAGAACUUUGAAAAGAGAGUUAAAGAGUACCUGAAAUUGCUGAAAGGGAAGCGAAGGAAACCAGUGUUUUGCUUGGCCAUACUUCCCGGACCACCUGUGGUCUGGGCGCUGUGGCCGGCCGAGGUCUGCCUUUGUUGGGACUGCCGGAGGAGCGCCUGCAGAGUUGAUGCUGGUUGCUAGCGGCGGUCCUGACCGAGGGAGGCGAAAUGGUUUUCUUUACCCCGUCUUGAAACACGGACCAAGGAGUCUAACAUAUGUGCGAGUACAGGGGUGGCAAACCCCCGUGCGCAAUGAAAGUGACAGUGGUUGGACUUUUGCACAAUCCGCCGGCCUCAAUCCCUCGGGAGAACGGUCUGAGUGUGAGCAUACAUGUUGGGACCCGAAAGGUGCUGAACUAUGCCUGAAUAGGGUGAAGCCAGGGGAAACUCUGGUGGAGGCUCGUAGCGAUUCUGACGUGCAAAUCGAUCGUCAAAUUUGGGUAUAGGGGCGAAAGACUAAUCGAAGCACCUAGUAGCUGGUUCCCUCCGAAAUUUCCCUCAGGAUAGCUGCGAUCGGAGUUUCAAUUUUAUCA